CCCGCCCCCGGCAUCAGGCCCCGCCCCCGCGCGCCGCCAUCUUGGCUGCCGCCUCAGCGGGAUGUUACUGACCCCCACUCCCCCCCCAGCCGCCGGCGUGUUUCCCCGUGGGCCUGCGGGGAGGGACGACAGUCCCUCGCGACAGAAACCCGGGAGCCCGGCUGGGGGGGAGUCGGAGGCGUCGCCGUCACUCAAAGCAAGCACGAGGCUGGGGAAACCAGGAUCCCUGCUUACAAAACAGGAAAAAUAAAUCGGAUGUUAACGUGAAGUCGUUCAAAACGCGAGUCGAUUCAUUCGUCUCUCUGGACGAUAGCUUUGACCCAGAGGAAGUCGGAGCUAAAAAGGCCGGGUGUUAUUUUACGUGCCCGUUUUCAUGCGCGAUGUCCUUUUCAGACCCGAAACACCCCAGAGAGAAUGGACCAAACUGAACGCGCUCUUCGCGUAGACCCACGUGUGCAAUGCUGGGGACAGACGUGAGGUCGGCCUGAACGUGCAGGCUGCUUUCCUCAGCUGGGUCUGCGAGCGCAAGCCAUGCUGGACCCGUUUUUGUGCGAGCGGGCAGCGCACCGCUGUUUGUCGAGUGCUGGAGAGUCGUCCCUGCGCUGGAGCUGUACAGCAACACAACGCCUGAUCCUGGUAUUUCCAAGAGAGGUCAAUUCGUUUGCCGCACCACACACCCUUAUCCCACACACGAGCAGAAACCAAGGGAUCGAUACUCAAGGCAACGUAUUCUGCUUUCGGCUGCGAUUCUGUGGUGCGGCAAGCGCUAAAUCCCGUGGCACCUUCCAAUACACCAGCAUUUUAAAUAGAGGUGUUUAUUGCAUUCAGUAUGA
Alligator mississippiensis (American alligator) is the source of this 833-nucleotide long non-coding RNA. RefSeq lists it as uncharacterized. The record is from RefSeq and is a predicted model, not a curated record. NCBI's taxonomy places the organism in Eukaryota, Metazoa, Chordata, Crocodylia, Alligatoridae. The transcript is spliced from 2 exons.